ACGGAGGGUGCAAGCGUUGUCCGGAUUUAUUGGGUUUAAAGGGUGCGUAGGCGGCACGUUAAGUCAGUGGUGAAAGCCUCCCGCUCAACGGGAGAAAUGCCAUUGAUACUGGCGUGCUUGAGUACGGACGAGGUAGGCGGAAUUUAUGGUGUAGCGGUGAAAUGCAUAGAUACCAUAAAGAACACCGAUAGCGUAGGCAGCUUACUAGACCGUAACUGACGCUGAGGCACGAAAGCGUGGGGAGCGAACAGG
RNAcentral lists this ribosomal RNA (252 nucleotides) under uncultured bacterium. RNAcentral's name for it is "partial 16S ribosomal RNA". It matches the Rfam family "Bacterial small subunit ribosomal RNA", at positions 525 to 776 of the family's 1533-position model. The record is from RNAcentral.